Cicer arietinum (chickpea) is the source of this 1148-nucleotide non-coding RNA. The record is from RefSeq and is a predicted model, not a curated record. Lineage: Eukaryota; Viridiplantae; Streptophyta; Magnoliopsida; Fabales; Fabaceae.
AAAAACAAACUCUUUUCUAUCAACCCAUAAUUUAUGUCCACUACAACAAAUUUGCCAUAUACCAACGGUUGUUUUUAGUAACACAUAUAAAUGCCGUAGGUAUAGAUAUAAUAUACCAACAACCACUAAAGAAGAAGUCCUAGGUAUAGAGAGGUAUUUAGAGAUAGGUAUUUAGUGACAGAGUUAAAUAGUUGGUAUCCCCCAAAAUAAAUAAAAAAUUCAGUCCCGCCUCAAAACUCUGAGUUCCCGCUGCCAAAUACCUAAAUCCUCUUUUACAAGUUGCGUUGCUUCAACUUACCCUUCUCUCCUGCAAAACCCCUAAACGCACCGCCGCAACCUCACCGCCGCCGCUGCAACCUUCAACGAGCAACCUAAACGCACCGCUGCAACCUCACCGCCGCUGCCGCUGCAACCUUCAACGAGCAACCUAAACACACCGCCGCCGCAACCUAAACGCACCCGCCGCUGCAACCUUCAACGAGCAACCUAAAUGCACCGCCGCGACAACCUAAACGCACCGCCGCAACCUCAUCGUCGCCACCGCUACAAUCUUGAAUCAAGAAAUAAAGGCUCGUGUGUUCUUUGGGCAGCCAAUCCACUGUGAACAAGGAAAACAGAUUAUUUAAACAAAACAAACAAUGAAUUAAAAUCUGGCAAAAUAUUAUUAUGAAUUAAAAUCAUCAUCUUUUGAUUCAAACAAAUGGAUAGCAAAUAGACAGUUGAGACAAGCAACUGCAUGAUUCCCAUAAUAGGAUGCUACAUUUAAAAUUUGUAAUUCUGUGAACUAUAUAUAUUUUUGGUUUUAUAUAAAAUUUGUAAUUUGAUGCUAUUUUUGGUUUUAUAUAAAAUUCUCAGAAUAGGAUGCUAUAUAUAUUCUGUGAACUAUAUAUAAAAUUUGUAAUUUGAAAUUCUGUAAUUCUGUGAGCUUAAAAUUUGUAAUUCUGUGAACUAUAUAUAUUUUUGGUUUUAUAUAAAAUUUGUAAUUUGAUGCUAUUUUUGGUUUUAUAUAAAAUUCUCAGAAUAGGAUGCUAUAUAUAUUCUGUGAACUAUAUAUAAAAUUUGUAAUUUGAAAUUCUGUAAUUCUGUGAGCUUAAAAUUUGUAAUUCUGUGAACUAUAUAUAUAAAAAUAAAACAUUAGUUACAGAUUA